AAAUUGAAGAGUUUGAUCAUGGCUCAGAUUGAACGCUGGCGGCAGGCCUAACACAUGCAAGUCGAACGGUAGCACAGAGAGCUUGCUCUCGGGUGACGAGUGGCGGACGGGUGAGUAAUGUCUGGGAAACUGCCUGAUGGAGGGGGAUAACUACUGGAAACGGUGGCUAAUACCGCAUAACGUCGCAAGACCAAAGAGGGGGACCUUCGGGCCUCUUGCCAUCAGAUGUGC
This 231-nucleotide ribosomal RNA is filed under the name Salmonella enterica subsp. enterica serovar Infantis. RNAcentral's name for it is "partial 16S ribosomal RNA". It matches the Rfam family "Bacterial small subunit ribosomal RNA", at positions 1 to 230 of the family's 1533-position model. RNAcentral also lists the same sequence under 2 other names. Lineage: Bacteria; Pseudomonadati; Pseudomonadota; Gammaproteobacteria; Enterobacterales; Enterobacteriaceae. The record is from RNAcentral.